AAACAGGAACACAAGAUACCUGCAACUGAUACCAGGUGGGAAACAAUCGUCAAAUCUUCUUACUUGCAUCACCAUCAUGUCCGCUAUUCUGAGGAACUAGUAACUCACCUUUCUCAGCAAUCCAAAAGUUAAAAAAA
Molecule: long non-coding RNA, 137 nt
Organism: Hibiscus syriacus
Lineage: Eukaryota; Viridiplantae; Streptophyta; Magnoliopsida; Malvales; Malvaceae
Exons: 2
Source: RefSeq, a predicted model, not a curated record